UCGGUCACAUCAGGUUGAAACACCGGUUCUCGUACGAUCACCGAAGUUAAGCAACGUCGUGACUGGUCAGUACCUAGAUAGGUGGCUGCUUGGGAAUAUCAGUUGAUGUAA
Molecule: non-coding RNA, 111 nt
Organism: Acanthosepion pharaonis
Lineage: Eukaryota; Metazoa; Mollusca; Cephalopoda; Sepiida; Sepiidae
Source: the annotation of a GenBank genome assembly